CUAAAAAAGUCGUUGUUUCAUUUUUUUUUCCUCUCUAAAUCUCAGAUCUCUGCCAUGAAAAACCUUUUCGUUUUCCUCUCUGAAUCUCAAAUUUGUGUCAUGAAAAAUCAUUUUGUUUUCCUCUCCCAAUCUCAAAUCUCUGUCGUGAAAACUCUUUUUUUCUCUCUAAAUCUCAGAUCUCCGUCCUUGGUUCGUUGACUACUUCGUUUCGACAUGUUGCCUCCGAGACCUUUCUCCUUCCCCUCUGAAACCAUGUUUGAAGAGGAUUCUCGGUGAACAUGCAAUGAUACCUUCCUUGUCGCUCUGACUUUCCCUUGUCGCUCUAACUUUCCCUUUGUUUAUCCUACAUGUGUACCGAAAUGCCCUUGAACAGAGAUACUACAUCCGGAGAAUGGUAGGGGCAUCAUCAGUCUGAGCACGGUAGGGGUGGCCGGUUGUUUCGGGUUUGCACACAUACCCUUAAAAGUUGUGUUGUGUACAUGAUUGUGUAUCCCUGAGUGCUAUGCUUACUGCUGCUAAGCCAAUCAGUUAGAAAGAGUUGUUAGAGUAUUUUAAGUUUAUGUGUUAAGUUUGUUGUAAAGAGAGCUUGUGUUGUAAAUAGAUUGCAAGAAGUUAAGUUAAUAAAGAAAAAGUAUUUGUUA
Molecule: long non-coding RNA, 641 nt
Organism: Cucumis melo (muskmelon)
Lineage: Eukaryota; Viridiplantae; Streptophyta; Magnoliopsida; Cucurbitales; Cucurbitaceae
Exons: 2
Source: RefSeq, a predicted model, not a curated record